GAGGGAAGAGCUGGGAGGUGGGAAGUGGGGGAGGGGCCCCAGACCAGGCUCAGAGCAUAUCCUUGCUCCUGGCCUCCACCGCAGAAGGUGGCUCACCCCUCUGCAUGGAACAGUCUCUCUCCAUUCCCUCUACCCUGGCCUUCCUCCUCCUUGCAGGCCCCAGAAGCUGGAGGGGGCUGGUCGGGGUUGGGCUCACAGACACAGUGGUGGAGCUCACAGAAGUGCCCCCACCCACCAGGAGCCCAGGGUGGGCCUCAGCCAGCCGGGGGUAAUGAGGCAUGGGAUGGACUCUGCGGGCACCAGGCCUGACCCUGAGUGCACCCAGGCGAGGGCGGGGGACACUCAGAUCUGCCCCUCUCUGCAGGAACCUGGUUUCCCCACCCUGGAGGCCAGCGCCAAAGGACGUUCACGUGCAGCUCAACCACACAAUAUAAGAGCUACUGUCUCCAAUUAACACUUGGGGACACUGAGGCAAAGAGCCUGGCUGAAUAUUGUGCCCGUGAAGACAGAGGGACAGCCUAUUUUGUUUGCUGCUGUAUCCUUAGCACCCAGCACAGGGAAGGGGUCCUGGUACAUUUCUAGAAAAAAUGGAGGGGAGCAGAGUCCCCCUGAGCACCUGGGGUUUGAUGCCUCCCUGCCCAGAGCCCUUGCUAUAGCAUAUGCUGGUGAGGGCCGAGGCUCUAGCUCACACUCCAGACCGGGGUAGGGAUCCAAUCUGGCUUUGAAGACAUCAUGCAGAGCCUCUGCUCUGGAGAUGGGAACCUGCAGACAAAUGCCUCCUUAUCUCAAUCCUCUGAAAACAGUUUGACCAGGGAGACAGCGUUCACUCAUGAAUUUAAGAAAAAAAAAAUCCCUGAUCCCUACUUUUUGCCAACUUCAAUGCUGAUUUCUAGUGGUACCAAGAAAAAUGCAACUGAGCCUCCAUCCUCAAGGGGCUCACAGUCUUGUGUGGAGAUAAAAAAUGCAGGCCUGCUGCAGAUCCAAGUCCUGUGACCGGGGUCCUGCCCAAGGGUCCUGCUUCCCUAGGCAUCCCAGAAGUUCAGCCUGCAUCUCGACCAGAGCCUGAGAGUAGACACCUGCCGGUUUAUCUGUCCCUUCAUGUAGCAGGUGACAGAGGUGCCAGGGGCAUGGCAGGGGUACUCUGACACAGCACUGCCCCACGGAGCCCAUGUCCCAGGGCAGAAGACCCACGAUGCACAGCCAGCCAGGUGGCCUCAUCCGAUCAGUCAAAGGCCUCAAUAGAACCAAGACUGACCUCUGCCAAAGAGAGAAUUCUUUCAGCAGACGGCCUUCGGACUUGAGCUAUGACGGCAACUCUUCCCCGGGCCCACCUGACGGACUGGGUUUCUCAGCCUCCACAGUCGAAAGAACUCCAGGGUAGCUGGGAGCUUGGUAUGUUCCAGGACAGCAGGGAGGCCAGAGCCGCUGUCAGUGUGAGAGGGUCGGAGUACAGUGGGGCCCUCCCUGCAUGUGGGGCCUCAUAAGGUGGCAUAGAUGCACGCUUGUUCUGUGUGGACAGGGUUUGGGUGGGGGUGAUGCUUCCUCUGUUCCCUGGGUAGAGACUUGAUGUCUGGUGGCCUGGGGAAGGCAAGGAGGCCAUGUGGAGGCUGCUGCUGUGGUCCGGGUGAGAGGUGACGCCACUGUAGGGCAGCUGGUGGCAUGCAUAAUUCAAAAUAGGCAUAUUGACCAGAUGCAGUGGCUCAUGCCUGUGAUCCCAGCACUUUGGGAGGCCAAGGCAGGAGGAUUG
Molecule: long non-coding RNA, 1747 nt
Filed under: Homo sapiens (human)
Lineage: Eukaryota; Metazoa; Chordata; Mammalia; Primates; Hominidae
Description: HSALNT0314486
Source: RNAcentral